CACUCCAGCCUGGAUGACAGAGCAAGACUCCAUCUCCAAAAAAAAAAAAAAAAAAAAAAGGCCGACUGGGUCCCUGUGUCCCAGCAACUAGACCCCUUGAGCUGUUGUGUGCACCUUCACUGGCUAUUGGAAGCUAAGACUGGAAGUUACAUUUCUCUGUCCCUUAACUGCUUAGAGUUAAUGCUGUCCAAUGUGGUAGCCACUAACAAUAUUUCAAGUAUUAUGUAAUCACAUAUGGCUAGUGGCUGCCAUACCUGGAUCGUGCAAAGAGAGAACGUUUUUAUCCUCACAGAAAGUUCUGUCAGACAGCACUGGCAUAGAGAGACUGACACUUUCAUUCAUUUAUGUAACUUUUUUUGAUGCUGUCUGAAUAGCCCAGGAAUCUUCUGGAUAGAGCCAGACUGCUUUUGUUUUUAUGGGCCUUGCUGCCCUGAAGCCCAUGAAUUUUAUAAGAUUUAAUUUUAAGGUACUAGAAGUUUUCCUUUUUUGAGGCUGACCCCAGUAGUUUGUGGUGUGGCUAUACCUUCACAUGUCUGUCACUGCACUGGUGUGACUGGUCUGUUCAAAUAGACCAAAUGCAGUCAUGUCCUUAACCACCCACAUGCAUUUACUAUUCCUGUACACCAGAGCAGUUUCCCAGCUCUUAGGAAGAAAAGCACAAUAGAAAUUGUACAUUUAGAAGUCGUUUUUUUGUGAAGAAGUGGCUUCAUAGCCAGGGACCUUGCUGGCAGUCACUGUUGCCCAUUUCCCCUUCAGGCUGCCUCUAUCCAGGCUGCUUCUGUGCUUCCAUGGCUUUUAGUUCAGCAUGUUAGGUGCUCCCUGAAUAUUCAUUCUUAAGACAUUUAGAAUAUCUCAAACUGGUGUUUUGUACCAGAAUGGAAUAAUUUCAAUGGAUUGGGAAGAGGCAAGCAACACUGCUAAGGCCAAGUUAAUUAUUGAGAUAGUUAUGAAGAACUGGGGCCACAAUGGGGAAUGACAAAAUAUUAACGCCAAAAAUUAAGGGCACUAGCAGUCUCUUUAAUUUUAAAGGAGAAAGCUACUGGGAAAGAAGCAGCCAGUUGUCCUUUUUCAUCUCUGUUUUGUUACUUUAAAACAAUUAUUGGCGUUCCUCCCAGCCACAUCUCCUUUUAAUAUCAGCUUGUUGUGGGCAUGAAGACAUGAGAGUCUUUAACAGCAAAAAACAAAAAAAAAA
Sapajus apella (tufted capuchin) is the source of this 1192-nucleotide long non-coding RNA. RefSeq lists it as uncharacterized. NCBI's taxonomy places the organism in Eukaryota, Metazoa, Chordata, Mammalia, Primates, Cebidae. The transcript is spliced from 2 exons. The record is from RefSeq and is a predicted model, not a curated record.